AUGUGCUCUAGAAACAAGACCAAAAAAAAAAAAGUCAUUCCACUGGUUGGCAUUUGACAUAACUCACUGGCCAGAUCUGAUAUGUUUCAUGAUGAUAUUAAAAAGGCAACACGGUAGAGGGAAGACACAGCAAUUGUCAAAUAGUGAGUUUUCUUACCCUUGCUCACUCCCUAAGAACUUAAUGACCUCUUUAACCUAAGCAGUGCCUGGGGGUGGGGGGAAGUGUGUUGAACUGGACAAAUUCCCAGUCACUAACGAUUCUAAAUAUUCUAUUCAGCCUAAUGAUUUAUACAAAGAUAAUCACUAAAAUUAUGUUCAGGAUAACCGAUUGUACCAAGAUAUCACUGGAAAGUGGUAUCUUGACGGUUUUAAAUGAAAGAACUUAUCAAAAUUUAAAAAUGCAAUCACGAAUAAACUCAACCAUUUUAUGUCAUCUCUUCUAUGUUACCUAUUUUCUAUUUGUGAAUUUAAGGUCAGGAUUUUAUACAAACUACCAUUUAUGUCCGAAGCACAAUUAUUUGCCUUGGGUUUCCUGAUAAUAAUUUUUCUCUUACAUUUUAAUCAAAUUAUUUUCAAAACCUCUUUAACUUUUCUGAAAGCUAGGAAAUGAGGAAAGAACAGAAACCAGUUUAAUGCAAUGAAAAAAUUUUUCAGUUCCACUUAGAACAUCUCAAUGUCUUUCCACUUUCCUUGGUCACUAAAUACUCACAAGGCCUUAUUCUAUUAGUUACUAAGGUAACCCAAAGCUGGCAGCAUGUUGACCUACCUUUCAAGGCCAAGAGAUUUUGCAGUAUUUCAUAGAUAAUGUCACACUAACCUCAAACUUGUCAUUUGUAUAAAAGAACAAUAAUUGUUUGAAUGAAUCUGUUGUAAAUUUGUUCUUUGGGUUUUAUUAAGGGACUUAUUGCUACACUGUCCUUCAGCCCAGGUACUAUUCUGUUUUUAAAAUAAUGGAGUAGUAGAAGUCAGAUAUGUUUAUUGAGUCUUGCAUUAAACCACUCAUUUGCUCCUUAUGUGGAUUAUUCAUAUCCUGGGUCACAAUCUGUGGAGUCAUCCAAAUGGCCCUCAAAAGAGAGGGCAUCCUUUGAUCUACCCUUACAACCCCAUAAAGAUCCACCUAGUGAAAAUUAAGGCAAAAAAGAUGUAUUAGGGAUAAAGGAUAUAAACAGAUGGCCUCUUUUUCUCUUUUUGUCAUUAAUUGCAGUGCAUAAAUUCAGGUGAGAGAAGAAAGAUUUUCUGUCCUCAUGUUAUAAAUGAGACAUUGUAGCCAGGAAUCAAGUGUAUUUAUCCCAUAGCCCAGUGUUACAAUGUGAAUGUAGAUGUGCUUCCAAUUGCACAUAAGAAUCAGAUACCUUCUGAAGUCAGACCAUGCUAAGAGUUCAUUAGUCUUUCCCAAAUAAUCCAAAGUAAUGGUAAAUCUAGAUAAAUGUAAACUUGAGUAGAAAUAUUAAAUAUUAACAAAAUCAAAUAUACUGACAGAAGAUUAUUUCUCUACUCAACAAUUACACACUUAAGAAAAUUUGAGAUAAUUUAUAUACAGCAAAUCUGAUCCAAGAAAACGCCUGAAUCUAAAGACAUAGUAGUGUUCAACUAUUUGCAAACCCUCCCCACAAAUCAAGCUCUAAUAUUUGUGAGUGAUAAGUAAUUCCCUUUUCUAAAGUUCUUUGUUCUAUUUUUCAUUUCUUCUCAGGAGCCCUUAAAUUUAUUUACUUUUGGUUAAAUGCAUCCUCAGGCUUCCUUAAACCUGAACUUAUUCACCUAGAUUUCAUUAAAAAAUAAUUAUUACUUCUGGACAUGGCCAGUUAUAUCAAGGUAAUAUUUAAUUGAUCAAAGGGGUUAAUAAAAUGACUGAAUAAAAUAUUUUUUCUAAAGUGAUAGAACUCUACUCAAUUAGCAAAUAUUUACUACCACCUUGUAAUAAUUAAGAUGCUAAAGGCUGCAAUUAAUUCAGUGGUUUUAUUUUUAUUUACUUGUGUAACUGCCUAUUUAAAGUUUGUUUUAAAUUAAAGCUAAUUUUUAUUACUUCCCUUUAGCAAUCUAUCCUUUGUCUAAGGAGUGGGGAAAUUAUCCACUAUAUUUUAUACUAGAUUAUUAAUAUCUAAAUAUGUUCUAGUUAAUUUGAAGGUGUUAGAAAACAAAUGACAUGUUUUGCUUACUGAAGGAAACCUUGUAAUUGAAAAUGCAAAAUUAGUAAAUACCCUAUUUCUUUACUCAUGAUUUUAAGAAUACCUAUUUGCAUGACAUUUUAUGGUAAAUAAUGAAAAAUAGAAGAUUAGAAGUUGGGAAUUACUUUAUGUCAUAAUACUUCUCAAUAUAUAUAUGUCAUAAUAUUUCUGAAUAUAUAUAGCUCAUUUUGUAGCUAAUAAACUAAUAUUACAUAUACUUGAAAGUUGCUAAGAGAGUAAAUCUUAGGUUUAUUUUAAUUUUUAAUUGAAGUAUAGUUGAUUUACAAUGUUGUGUUAAUUUCUGCUCUACAACAAAGUGAUUCACACAUAUAUACAUUCUUUUAAAUGUAUGUGUAUAUAUAUAUACAUUAAGUGUGUGUGUGUGUAUGUGUAUACACACACAUAUAUAUACAUAUACAUUCUUUUAAAUUUUAUUUUCAGCAUUCCUGUUGUGGUGCAGCAGAAACAAAUCUGACUAGUAUCCAUGAGGAUGCAGAUUUGAUCCCUGGCCUCGCUCUGCAUUGCUGUGAGCUGUGGUGUAGGUCACAGAUGCAGCUCAGAUCCCUUGUUGCUGUGGCUGUGGUGUAGGCCGGCAGCUGCAGCUCCAAUUCAACCCCUAGCCUGGGAACUUCCAUAUGGCCCUAAAAAGCAAAUAAGUAAAUAAAUAAAUAUUAUUUACCAUUAUAAUUUAUCAUAAAAUAUUGAAUAUAGUUCCCCAUGGGACCUUGUUGUUUAUCCAUUCUAUAUAUACCACCUUCCAUCUGCUAAUCACAUCCUCCCACUGUAUCCCUCUCCCAACCCCCUCAAUCUUGGAAACCACAAGUCAGUUCUCUACAUCUGUGAGUCUAUUUCUCUUUUAUAGAUAGGUUCAUUUGUGCCAUCUUUUAGAUUAUACAUAUGUGUGAUCUCAUAUGACAUUUGUCUUUCUCUGUCUGACUUCACUUAGUAUGUUAAUCUCUGGCCUAUCCAUGUUGCUACAAGUGGCAUUAUUUUGUUCUUUUUUAUAGCCAAGUAAUAUUCCAUUGUAUAUAUGUACCACAUCUUUAUUCAUUCAUCUGUUGAUGGACAUUUAGGUUGUUUCCAUGUCUUGGCUAUUGUGAAUAGUGCUGCUAUGAACAUAGGGGUGCAUGCAUCUUUUUGAAUCAAAGUUUUGUCUAUAUAUGUGCCCAGGAGUAUGAUUGCAGGAUCAUAUGGUAAUUCUUUUUUUUUACUUUUCUGAGUUAGAGUAAAUUUUAAAUGCUCUCAUCACAAAGAAGAGAUGGUAAUUAUGUGACAUGGUAGAGAUAUUGACUAAGCCAUUGUGAGAACCAUUUUGUAAUCUAUAAGUGUUUGAAAUCAAUAUGCUGAAAUCAAUAUAUUGCAAUAAAACUGGAAAAAAGACAUAUUUUGUUCACUGAAAUUCAUUUUGAAGAGUAUACAAUUUGAAAACUGAACAAAAAGCUGUAAGACAAAGAAUUGUGUGAAUUUUAAAUAGUUGCAUAUUCAGGUUUGUCU
RNAcentral lists this long non-coding RNA (3659 nucleotides) under Sus scrofa (pig). Its description in RNAcentral is "lncRNA (ENSSSCG00000059640.1)". The record is from RNAcentral. Lineage: Eukaryota; Metazoa; Chordata; Mammalia; Artiodactyla; Suidae.